AAACUAUCCAGACGUUGGCAACAUUAUUUGAUAGCUGGCCUGGGAUGGACAAUGACAUCUCAUCGUGCAACAAGGAAUGUGUCUGGCUAUUUUGUUUUUCAUUUUAUGCUCUGGUGGAACGGUAAAGAAUUGGUCAAGCCGAUUUGCACGGAUGGGUAUGAAUUGAGGAAACAGUUUUUAUUACACUUGCUAAAACAUUGUGGGAAUGAAGCUAAAGGAAACUUUCC
Molecule: long non-coding RNA, 227 nt
Organism: Triticum aestivum (bread wheat)
Lineage: Eukaryota; Viridiplantae; Streptophyta; Magnoliopsida; Poales; Poaceae
Exons: 3
Source: RefSeq, a predicted model, not a curated record